This 429-nucleotide ribosomal RNA is filed under the name uncultured Glomeromycotina. RNAcentral describes it as "SSU rRNA". It matches the Rfam family "Eukaryotic small subunit ribosomal RNA", at positions 569 to 1004 of the family's 1831-position model. Lineage: Eukaryota; Fungi; Glomeromycota. The record is from RNAcentral.
AGCAGCCGCGGUAAUUCCAGCUCCAAUAGCGUAUAUUAAAGUUGCUGCAGUUAAAAAGCUCGUAGUUGAAUUUCGGAACCAAUAUGUUGGUUGUGCCUCGGUACGUACUGGCAUUGUUGGUUUCUCCCUUCUGACGAACUAUGAUGUCAUUAAUUUGGUGUCAUGGGGAAUCAGGACUGUUACUUUGAAAAAUUAGAGUGUUUAAAGCAGGCUCACGCUUGAAUACAUUAGCAUGGAAUAAUGAAAUAGGACGUUUGAUUCUAUUUUGUUGGUUUCUAGGAUUGACGUAAUGAUUAAUAGGGAUAGUUGGGGCAUUAGUAUUCAAUUGUCAGAGGUGAAAUUCUUGGAUUUAUUGAAGACUAACUACUGCGAAAGCAUUUGCCAAGGAUGUUUUACAUUAAUCAAGAACGAAAGUUAGGGGAUCGAAGA